RNAcentral lists this transfer RNA (73 nucleotides) under Cordylochernes scorpioides. Its description in RNAcentral is "tRNA-Thr". Lineage: Eukaryota; Metazoa; Arthropoda; Arachnida; Pseudoscorpiones; Chernetidae. The record is from RNAcentral.
GUCCAGGGAUGGGAAUCGAACCCACAGUGUUCCGCUUACCGGGCAGAUUCAAUGUCCACUAGGCUACCCUGGA